This 220-nucleotide ribosomal RNA is filed under the name uncultured bacterium. RNAcentral describes it as "partial 16S ribosomal RNA". It matches the Rfam family "Bacterial small subunit ribosomal RNA", at positions 114 to 334 of the family's 1533-position model. The record is from RNAcentral.
AACGUGAGCAACCUGCCUCUAAGUGGGGAAUAACGGCUGGAAACGGUCGCUAAUACCGCAUAAUAUAGCGGGGUCGCAUGACCUUGCUAUCAAAGAUUUAUCGCUUAGAGAUGGGCUCGCGUCCGAUUAGCUGGAUGGUGGGGUAACGGCCCACCAUGGCGACGAUCGGUAGCCGGACUGAGAGGUUGAUCGGCCACAUUGGGACUGAGACACGGCCCAG